Molecule: ribosomal RNA, 504 nt
Filed under: uncultured bacterium
Lineage: Bacteria
Description: partial 16S ribosomal RNA
Rfam family: Bacterial small subunit ribosomal RNA
Source: RNAcentral
AUUGAACGCUGGCGGCAGGCCCAACACAUGCAAGUCGGACGGUAGCACAGAGAGCUUGCUCUUGGGUGACGAGUGGCGGACGGGUGAGUAAUGUCUGGGGAUCUGCCCGAUAGAGGGGGAUAACCACUGGAAACGGUGGCUAAUACCGCAUAACGUCGCAAGACCAAAGAGGGGGACCUUCGGGCCUCUCACUAUCGGAUGAACCAAGAUGGGAUUAGCUAGUAGGCGGGGUAAUGGCCCACCUAGGCGACGAUCCCUAGCUGGUCUGAGAGGAUGACCAGCCACACUGGAACUGAGACACGGUCCAGACUCCUACGGGAGGCAGCAGUGGGGAAUAUUGCACAAUGGGCGCAAGCCUGAUGCAGCCAUGCCGCGUGUAUGAAGAAGGCCUUCGGGUUGUAAAGUACUUUCAGCGGGGAGGAAGGCGGUGAGGUUAAUAACCUCACCGAUUGACGUUACCCGCAGAAGGAGCACCGGCUAACUCCGUGCCAGCAGCAGCCGCCG